UUUACUGAUUGUACCGCCCGUAAGGCAGGCUAAUAUCCGCUGAAGGCAAGAACUGCAAGAUUUUUAUGCUGCCGUCCGGCAGGCGCCAGAAGGCCUGGGACCCCGCCCGGGACCGCCUGCCGAAGACGAAACACAGUAGUAGGUUCACAGUGGUUUGGAGAGGGUUUUUGUCCUCAUUAAUGAUCCCUCCGCUGGUUCACCAACGGAGA
Molecule: unclassified non-coding RNA, 209 nt
Filed under: uncultured fungus
Lineage: Eukaryota; Fungi
Description: sequence contains ITS1
Source: RNAcentral